UUGGGUCGCCGACCGCCCAUGCGGUUAUACUUKGARRYYWRSUGRAMMUWKWURUKUUUAGUUAGACGUAAAAAUUUGUAAAAUAGUAGAUAUUUGUAAUAAAGGGUAAAAUCAAGCUGUUACAGUAUAUAUAUAUACUUAAAUUGUAGUUGAAGCUAGUAAAUCUUAAUUAUAAACUAGGAUUAGAUACCCUAUUAUUUUAGGAGGUUAGAAUAAAACAAAUCAUUAAAAGAUAUAUGCUUUAAAAUUAAAAGAUUUGGCGGUGAUUUAAUCUUAUUAGAGGAACUUGUUCUGUAAUCGAUAAUCCACGUAAAAUUUUACUUGCUUUUGUAAAUCCAGUUUGUAUACCGUCAUUAUCAGGUAAUUCCAAAAGGAUUGAAUUUCUAAAUUUAAUUAAUUAGAUAAAUUAGAUCAAGGUGCAGCCUAUAAGCAAGUUGGAAUGAGUUACAAUAAAUUACUUUAUAACGCAAUAUUAGAUGAAAUUCUACUAAGAAGGAGGAUUUAAUUGUAUUGCAAGUUCGAAUAAGCUUGCGAGAAAUAAGCUCUAAAUCAUGUACAURKSUGCSCGWCGCUKCCMYUWMCWWKAUGAGAUAAGUCGUACAAAAAGUAGGG
Molecule: ribosomal RNA, 612 nt
Filed under: Tmethypocoelis ceratophora
Lineage: Eukaryota; Metazoa; Arthropoda; Malacostraca; Decapoda; Dotillidae
Description: partial small subunit ribosomal RNA
Source: RNAcentral